Molecule: small nuclear RNA, 107 nt
Organism: Callithrix jacchus (white-tufted-ear marmoset)
Lineage: Eukaryota; Metazoa; Chordata; Mammalia; Primates; Cebidae
Source: Ensembl
GUGCUCAUUUCAGCGGCACAAAUACUAAAGCCGAAAUGAUUCAAAGAAGAUUAGCAUGGUGCCUGCACAAGAAUGACACACAAAUUUGUGAAGCAUUCCAUAGUUUU